This 505-nucleotide ribosomal RNA is filed under the name uncultured bacterium. RNAcentral describes it as "partial 16S ribosomal RNA". It matches the Rfam family "Bacterial small subunit ribosomal RNA", at positions 28 to 507 of the family's 1533-position model. The record is from RNAcentral.
GACGAACGCUGGCGGCGUGCCUAAUACAUGCAAGUAGAACGCACAGUUUAUACCGUAGCUUGCUACACCAUAGACUGUGAGUUGCGAACGGGUGAGUAACGCGUAGGUAACCUGCCUGGUAGCGGGGGUUAACUAUUGGAAACGAUAGCUAUUACCGCAUAAUAUUGAUUAUUGCAUGAUAAUUGAUUGAAAGAUGCUAUUGCAUCACUACCAGAUGGACCUGCGUUGUAUUAGCUAGUAGGUGAGGUAACGGCUCACCUAGGCGACGAUACAUAGCCGACCUGAGAGGGUGGUCGGCCAACCUGGGACUGGGGCACGGCCCAGACUCCUACGGGAGGCAGCAGUAGGGAAUCUUCGGCAAUGGACGAAAGUCUGAACGAGCAACGCCGGGUGAGUGAAGAAGGUUGUCGGAUCGUAAAGCUCUGUUGUAAGAGGAGAACGGGUGUGAGAGUGGAAAGUUCACACUGUGACGGUAUCUUACCAGAAAGGGACGGCUAACUACGUG